This 222-nucleotide non-coding RNA is filed under the name Ligilactobacillus ceti. RNAcentral's name for it is "Lactobacillus ceti T-box sequence". It matches the Rfam family "T-box leader". Rfam says of the family: Uncharged tRNA acts as the effector for transcription antitermination of genes in the T-box leader family. Lineage: Bacteria; Bacillati; Bacillota; Bacilli; Lactobacillales; Lactobacillaceae. The record is from RNAcentral.
AUAACAACAUUAAUAAGGAAUAGUAGGAAUUGAUUUAUUUCAGCGAGUAUGUGGUUGGUGCGAACAUACAAUAAAGAAAUUUUGAACUCGCCUUAGUGUUUUCCUAUUGAACUCAUAGUAGGUAGGAACGGUAUUUCCCGUUAUGAAAAGAGUGUUAAUAGAUUAAAUUCUAUUAAAAUAUAGGUGGUACCGCGAUAAUUACGUUAACUAUUCGUCCUAUAU